UCAGUAACGGCGAGUGAAGCGGUAACAGCUCAAAUUUGAAAUCUGGCCUCACGGUCCGAGUUGUAAUUUGUAGAGGAUGCUUCGAGCAUGGUCUGGCCUAAGUUCCUUGGAACAGGACGUCAUAGAGGGUGAGAAUCCCGUAUGCGGCCAGGUGCCUACGCUCAUGUGAAGCUCCUUCGACGAGUCGAGUUGUUUGGGAAUGCAGCUCAAAAUGGGUGGUAAAUUUCAUCUAAAGCUAAAUAUUGGCCAGAGACCGAUAGCGCACAAGUAGAGUGAUCGAAAGAUGAAAAGCACUUUGGAAAGAGAGUUAAACAGUACGUGAAAUUGUUGAAAGGGAAGCGCUUGCAACCAGACUUGCGCGCGGCCGAUCAUCCGGUGUUCUCACCGGUGCACUCGGCCGUGCUCAGGCCAGCAUCGGUUUUGGCGGCUGGAUAAAGGCCCUAGGAAUGUAGCUCCUCUCGGGGAGUGUUAUAGCCUAGGGUGCAAUGCAGCCUGCUGGGACCGAGGACCGCGCUUCGGCUAGGAUGCUGGCGUAAUGGUUGUAAGCGGCCCGUCUUGAAACACGGACCAAGGAGUCUAACAUCUAUGCGAGUGUUUGGGUGUCAAACCCAUACGCGUAAUGAAAGUGAACGGAGGUGAGAACCCUUAAGGGUGCAUCAUCGACCGGUCCUGAAGUUUACGGAAGGAUCUGAGUAAGAGCAUAGCUGUUGGGACCCGAAAGAUGGUGAACUAUGCCUGAAUAGGGUGAAGCCAGAGGAAACUCUGGUGGAGGCUCGCAGCGGUUCUGACGUGCAAAUCGAU
RNAcentral lists this ribosomal RNA (801 nucleotides) under Pseudogymnoascus sp. Its description in RNAcentral is "partial large subunit ribosomal RNA". It matches the Rfam family "Eukaryotic large subunit ribosomal RNA", at positions 80 to 902 of the family's 3401-position model. The record is from RNAcentral. Lineage: Eukaryota; Fungi; Ascomycota; Leotiomycetes; Thelebolales; Thelebolaceae.